GUUACUAUAAGCUUGUGUUACUCUUUUGAUAACCCUUAACAUGUGUCAGAUAUGAGGUACAUCUGUGACAUGAUCAGCCAUUGCGAAUCCACUGAAUUGGAGUGGUAGCAAAUCAUCCUCAAGAAGAAAAGGAUGAAGAUGCUGGUCAAAGGGGAUUUGCAACAUGUCCGGAGCACCCGGAGGAAACCCACGCAGACACAGGGAGAAUGUACAAACUCCAUACAGAGUCAC
This is a non-coding RNA of Chiloscyllium plagiosum (whitespotted bambooshark), 231 nucleotides long. NCBI's taxonomy places the organism in Eukaryota, Metazoa, Chordata, Chondrichthyes, Orectolobiformes, Hemiscylliidae. The record is from RefSeq and is a predicted model, not a curated record.